GUUGGUUGCAGUGCUGCAGGAGGGAAAGGACCGAUGAAUCCGGCUCAAUGUGUGCUGCCAGUAAAGGGUUCAAGACCGAAAUGGCAAGGCCAGGGAACCUCAUCAUGUGGCUUCUUUCACUGCUGGUAUUUCCAUCAAGUCCAGUUCUCCCAGGUCAGACUGUGAAGAUGCGCAUCAGGUAUCGCGAUGCCAGAGGGUAAAACAUUGUUUGGAGAUCGUCAUCAGGUGGAACAGCCAUCAGUGCUCUGAAAGCAGGAGAUGGAGCUGCAGUGCAGUAGAGAGGAGCUGUGGGGAAGCAGAGAGGUCCAGGUGGAAGGGCAGCGAAGUCCGCAGAAUCCGAUGCUGUGUACCCAGGAGGUGACUGUGCAGUUCGUCUGAAGUGAAAAUGAAUUCUGCAUUCUGGCCGUGUGUUUCUCGGUGGUCCCCAGAGCUGUAUUGCCGCAAAAAUGUAUGCUGUCUACACAUAGAAUGGCUUGAGAAUCUGAACGGGUGAUCUCAUCUGAGAGUCUGGGAGCUGCCCAGACCCUGCCAGGUCUGGCGCGCAGCCCCAGGGAGAAGACCCCUCAUUGAGCAAGACUUCCAUCCCGGUUCACGAGGUGGGACGGCAGAGUACAGAGAAGUUGGGGACCGUGCCCAGCUGGCAGAGGUCCGAAAGUGAGAGAGAGCCUCCCUCCAGCAGCCACACCAGGGAAGGGCAGGCCUGUGUCGUGAAAGGACAAGGAGCCUGGCAUCGCCUAGGGAGGCGAGGACCGCUUUGAGGACGCCUGGAGCAGACCCUGCUCACCACAGUGACAACCCGCAUGAGCUCCUCCUCUCUAGUCUGCUGGCUCCUUGAGCAGAGUGUCCUCCUAGGUGUCCCGUGUGAGAAUGGGAUGGACCCUCCUUGAUGUGGAGCUGCUCUUCACUUCCGCACUCACCUCCCUUCCCUGAGAUGUCCGACCUCUGCCAGCCUCUGCUUCUGAAGGUCCUUCCCCCGGGACUGGGACAGACACUCUUUUCUGUGCCGUGUCUUUCGUGUCUUUCGUGUGGACUCCUGGUCCCAUAGUCUGCCCAGGUCAAUGGGGCCUACUGUAGGAAGUUGCCGUGCUGAAAGAAGGGACAAUAUGGUGUCACAAGACCCUUCCUGCUUUCCAGAAGGGAGGAAGAACAGAGGGCUAGACAAUGGAGUGGGAAACAGAGCCAGAGCUGCCAUAGCAGUUGCCCAGGAUGAGCCUAGGAAAGGGAUGGUGCCAUCAGGCGAUAGGGAUUUGUUGUUGGUGGCCUCCAGUAGGCCAGUGCAAGGGCAUGCUGGGCACAAAGCCCUACUGAAGGGGACUGAGGAGCAAAUGCUAUGCAGAGAGGUUGGAGAAAUUUCGAACUGAAACCCAUGCAUUCAUGUGCCAGUAGCUGCAGACUCCCAUGUGGGAUGGGGGUCCAAUCCGCAGAGAUACCUGCCAUUGCUACCAAGAUACCAAGGAGGGAGGGACCCAGUUUUCUGUAGGGACCCCAAAGAAUGGAGCAGUUCAACCACAGUAAGGCACCGCCCGAUAGCUCCCCUGCCCAGACAGUGGACGCAGUACCCAGAAGAGGCUCCAAGCACUUUUUUCCAGCACAAAGGGCGGGGGAGAGAAAAGAGUUCGUGGCUCCACACUGCCACCUGCCGACCACAGAAACUCAGCGCCGGCAUUCUUCCCCUUAAGCCCCGUUUUCUCACCGAAUUUCAAAAGUAAAACCAACAUAAAAAUACCAGAGAUCAAUUCUCCACACACCACCGCCACUGACAGCUGUGGUCAGAAGAUGCAGGGAAGGGCCCCAGGAACCCCUACCCCCAACACCAGCUCCACCGCUCCCUUAGUCCCGCCCUCAGAACCAAAGCAAUCUUAGCGGAAGUCCCUGGUCCCAGAGCCCGCCCCAGAGGACUGAGGCUGCCCUGCCGGUGGUUUGCUCUGGGCCCUGGGGAGGAGGAAAAGUGAGAGCCCAGCCAGAGUCCCGGCGGGCAUCACUUUCCAGUCUUCUCAGGGACCCUGUUUCGAACUGUUAGCUGCUGGGCAGGGCCUGUGCUGUCAAGGUCCUUUUCCCCAAAUGCCCCAUGUGCCCCCGGUGUGGGGCCUGUUCCAGGUCCCUAGUCACCCUGUGCCCGCCCUAGCCUCUGAAUACCCUGGGCCCUUGGCACAACCACCUACCCCCUGUCAGCCUCCAUCCUGGGGAAACCUCCUGGUGACAUCAGGACCCACGAGCCGGCUCUGGCCUUCACAGAGCCUCUCUGACCUCACAUUGUUUCUCCUCCUGGUGACCUGAGCUUCAGUCACCCUGCCAGUGGUCAUGCC
Molecule: long non-coding RNA, 2306 nt
Organism: Phyllostomus hastatus (greater spear-nosed bat)
Lineage: Eukaryota; Metazoa; Chordata; Mammalia; Chiroptera; Phyllostomidae
Exons: 7
Source: RefSeq, a predicted model, not a curated record